CUUAUGAGUCGAGUGCGCGUUUCUGUAGCAAUACAGGAAUGGCGCACGGCGCACGGGUGCGUAACACGUGGGUAAUCUGCCCUCUGAUGGGGAAUAACCCGCCGAAAGGCGGGCUAAUUCCGCAUAACAUUCCUUGGACUCCGGUUCGAGGAUUCAAAGGCGUAAGUCGUCGGAGGUGGAGCCCGCGCCCGAUUAGCUAGUUGGUGAGGUAACGGCUCACCAAGGCAAUGAUCGGUAGCUGGUCUGAGAGGAUGGCCAGCCACACUGGAACUGAGACACGGUCCAGACUCCUACGGGAGGCAGCAGUGGGGAAUCUUGCACAAUGGGCGAAAGCCUGGUGCAGCGACGCCGCGUGGGGGAUGAAGCUUCUCGGAGUGUAAACCCCUUUCGACCCGGACGAAUGCCCCGCAAGGGGAGUGACGGUACGGGUAUAAGAAGCCCCGGCUAACUACGUGCCAGCAGCCGCGGUAAGACGUAGGGGGCCAGCGUUGUUCGGAAUUACUGGGUGUAAAGGGUUCGUAGGCGGUGUAGCAAGUUGGGAGUGAAAUCUCUGGGCUCAACUCAGAGGCUGCUUCCAAAACUGCUGUGCUGGAGUGUGGGAGAGGCGCGUGGAAUUGCAGGUGUAGCGGUGAAAUGCGUAGAUAUCUGCAGGAACACCCGUGGCGAAAGCGGCGCGCUGGACCACUACUGACGCUGAGGAACGAAAGCUAGGGGAGCAAACAGGAUUAGAUACCCUGGUAGUCCUAGCCCUAAACGAUCAGGACUUGGGGUGCCACCCGUUCGGGUGUCGUCCCGGAGCUAACGCGUUAAGUCCUGCACCUGGGGAGUACGGUCGCAAGACUGAAACUC
Molecule: ribosomal RNA, 849 nt
Filed under: uncultured bacterium
Lineage: Bacteria
Description: bacterial SSU rRNA
Rfam family: Bacterial small subunit ribosomal RNA
Source: RNAcentral